AGAGUUUGAUCCUGGCUCAGAUUGAACGCUAGCGGCAUGCCUAACACAUGCAAGUCGAACGGAAGUAAGGGGCAACUCUUACUUUAGUGGCGGACGGGUGCGGAAUACGUAGGAAUCUGCCUUAUAGUGGGGGAUAACUCGGGGAAACUCGAGCUAAUACCGCAUAAUCUCUACGGAGUAAAGGGGGCGCAAGCUCUCGC
RNAcentral lists this ribosomal RNA (200 nucleotides) under uncultured bacterium. RNAcentral describes it as "partial 16S ribosomal RNA". It matches the Rfam family "Bacterial small subunit ribosomal RNA", at positions 8 to 218 of the family's 1533-position model. The record is from RNAcentral.